This 1104-nucleotide long non-coding RNA is filed under the name Homo sapiens (human). RNAcentral's name for it is "HSALNT0268268". Lineage: Eukaryota; Metazoa; Chordata; Mammalia; Primates; Hominidae. The record is from RNAcentral.
AGAAGGGAUUGUUUAUGAGGGUCAAGGAGCUGGAGGCCUGGGGAGGAGCUGGUGUUUCUGUUCAAGUUUGAGGGUCCUGGAGCUGGAGCCCAGGGGAGGAGCCAGUGCUGCCACUGAUGUCUUAGGGUCGUGGAGCUGAAGAUCCCAGAGGAGCCGGUGCUGCUAUUCUAGCUUGAGUUUCGUGGAGCUGGAGACCCAGGGAGAAGAUGGUGCUGCUGUUCUAAUUUAAGGAUCGUGAAACAGAAGACCCAGAAAGGAGCUGGUGCUGCCGCUGCUCAGAUCUGAGGGUGUUGGAGCUGGAGCCUGGGGGUGGAGCCAUUGCUGCCAUUGAAGUGUGAGAGUCAUUGAGCUGGAAGUCCAGGAAGCAGCUGGUGCUGCUGUUCUAGUUUGAGGGUUGUGGAGUGCAGACCCAGGCAGGAGCAACAUUGCUGUAGUUCGAGGGUCAGAAAGCUGGCGACCCAGGGAGGAGAGGUCUUGUUCUAGUUUGAUUUUCGUGGAGCUGCAGACCCAGGGAGGAGCAAUGUUGUUGUAAUUCGAGGGUGUGGUAGCUGGCAACCUGGGGAGGAGAAGUCUUGUUCGAGUUUGAGGCUCGUGGAGCUGCCGACCAGGGAGGAGCAAUUUUGUUGCAGUUCGAGGGUCAGGAAGCUGGCGACCCAGGGAGGAGAGGUCUUGUUCUAGUUUGAGGGUCGUGGAGCUGCAGACCCAUGGAGGAGCAAUUUUGUUGUAAUUCGAGGGUCUGGAAGCUGGAGACCCAGGGAGGAGAGGUCUUGUUCUAGUUUGAGGGUCGUGGAGCUGCCGAACCAGGGAGGAGCAAUGUUGUUGUAAUUGGAGGGUCCGGAAGCUGGCGACCCAGGGAGGAGAGGUCUUGUUCUGGUCUGAGGGUCCUGGAGCUACAGACCCAGGGAGGAGCAAUGUUGUUGUAAUUUGAGGGUUCGGUAGCUGGCACCCUGGGGAGGAGAAGUCUUGUUCUAGUUUGAGGGUGGUGGAGCUGCAGAGCCAGGGAGGAGCAGUGUUGUUGUAGUUUGAGGGUCAUGGAGGUACAGACCCAGGGAGGAGCCGUGUUGUUUUGAGUGUCGUGGAGCCGGAGAUCCACGGAGGAGCUGG